This 320-nucleotide ribosomal RNA is filed under the name Amatitlania nigrofasciata. RNAcentral describes it as "partial large subunit ribosomal RNA". It matches the Rfam family "Bacterial large subunit ribosomal RNA", at positions 2210 to 2569 of the family's 2925-position model. Lineage: Eukaryota; Metazoa; Chordata; Actinopteri; Cichliformes; Cichlidae. The record is from RNAcentral.
CAGGCACCAGGACAGACUAUGUUAAGCACCCUAAUACAAAAGACAAAACUAACUAGGCCCUGUUCUAAUGCCUUUGGUUGGGGCGACCGCGGGGAAAUAAAAAACCCCCACGUGGACUAAGAGCACCCUUUACUCUUACAACCAAGGGCUACAGCCCUAAGUAACAGAAUCUCUGACCAUAAAUGAUCCGGUACAACCGAUCAACGAACCGAGUUACCCUAGGGAUAACAGCGCAAUCCCCUUCUAGAGUCCAUAUCGACAAGGGGGUUUACGACCUCGAUGUUGGAUCAGGACAUCCUAUUGGUGCAGCCGCUAUUAAG